RNAcentral lists this ribosomal RNA (2899 nucleotides) under Klebsiella pneumoniae. RNAcentral describes it as "23S ribosomal RNA". It matches the Rfam family "Bacterial large subunit ribosomal RNA". The record is from RNAcentral. RNAcentral also lists the same sequence under 1 other name. Lineage: Bacteria; Pseudomonadati; Pseudomonadota; Gammaproteobacteria; Enterobacterales; Enterobacteriaceae.
UUAAGCGACUAAGCGUACACGGUGGAUGCCCUGGCAGUCAGAGGCGAUGAAGGACGUGCUAAUCUGCGAAAAGCGUCGGUAAGGUGAUAUGAACCGUUAUAACCGGCGAUGUCCGAAUGGGGAAACCCAGUGCAAUUCGUUGCACUAUCGUUAACUGAAUACAUAGGUUAACGAGGCGAACCGGGGGAACUGAAACAUCUAAGUACCCCGAGGAAAAGAAAUCAACCGAGAUUCCCCCAGUAGCGGCGAGCGAACGGGGAGCAGCCCAGAGUCUGAAUCAGCUUGUGUGUUAGUGGAACGGUCUGGAAAGUCCGACGGUACAGGGUGAUAGUCCCGUACACCAAAAUGCACAGGUUGUGAACUCGAAGAGUAGGGCGGGACACGUGGUAUCCUGUCUGAAUAUGGGGGGACCAUCCUCCAAGGCUAAAUACUCCUGACUGACCGAUAGUGAACCAGUACCGUGAGGGAAAGGCGAAAAGAACCCCGGCGAGGGGAGUGAAAAAGAACCUGAAACCGUGUACGUACAAGCAGUGGGAGCACCUUCGGGUGUGACUGCGUACCUUUUGUAUAAUGGGUCAGCGACUUAUAUUCUGUAGCAAGGUUAACCGUAUAGGGGAGCCGCAGGGAAACCGAGUCUUAACUGGGCGUUAAGUUGCAGGGUAUAGACCCGAAACCCGGUGAUCUAGCCAUGGGCAGGUUGAAGGUUGGGUAACACUAACUGGAGGACCGAACCGACUAAUGUUGAAAAAUUAGCGGAUGACUUGUGGCUGGGGGUGAAAGGCCAAUCAAACCGGGAGAUAGCUGGUUCUCCCCGAAAGCUAUUUAGGUAGCGCCUCGUGAACUCAUCUUCGGGGGUAGAGCACUGUUUCGGCUAGGGGGUCAUCCCGACUUACCAACCCGAUGCAAACUACGAAUACCGAAGAAUGUUAUCACGGGAGACACACGGCGGGUGCUAACGUCCGUCGUGAAGAGGGAAACAACCCAGACCGCCAGCUAAGGUCCCAAAGUCAUGGUUAAGUGGGAAACGAUGUGGGAAGGCACAGACAGCCAGGAUGUUGGCUUAGAAGCAGCCAUCAUUUAAAGAAAGCGUAAUAGCUCACUGGUCGAGUCGGCCUGCGCGGAAGAUGUAACGGGGCUAAACCAUGCACCGAAGCUGCGGCAGCGACACUAUGUGUUGUUGGGUAGGGGAGCGUUCUGUAAGCCUGCGAAGGUGUGCUGUGAGGCAUGCUGGAGGUAUCAGAAGUGCGAAUGCUGACAUAAGUAACGAUAAAGCGGGUGAAAAGCCCGCUCGCCGGAAGACCAAGGGUUCCUGUCCAACGUUAAUCGGGGCAGGGUGAGUCGACCCCUAAGGCGAGGCCGAAAGGCGUAGUCGAUGGGAAACAGGUUAAUAUUCCUGUACUUGGUGUUACUGCGAAGGGGGGACGGAGAAGGCUAUGUUAGCCGGGCGACGGUUGUCCCGGUUUAAGCAUGUAGGCUGGUUGUCCAGGCAAAUCCGGAUAAUCAAGGCUGAGGUGUGAUGACGAGGCACUACGGUGCUGAAGUAACAAAUGCCCUGCUUCCAGGAAAAGCCUCUAAGCAUCAGGUAACAUUAAAUCGUACCCCAAACCGACACAGGUGGUCAGGUAGAGAAUACCAAGGCGCUUGAGAGAACUCGGGUGAAGGAACUAGGCAAAAUGGUGCCGUAACUUCGGGAGAAGGCACGCUGGUGUGUAGGUGAAGCCCCUGCGGGUGGAGCUGAGACCAGUCGAAGAUACCAGCUGGCUGCAACUGUUUAUUAAAAACACAGCACUGUGCAAACACGAAAGUGGACGUAUACGGUGUGACGCCUGCCCGGUGCCGGAAGGUUAAUUGAUGGGGUUAUCCGUAAGGAGAAGCUCUUGAUCGAAGCCCCGGUAAACGGCGGCCGUAACUAUAACGGUCCUAAGGUAGCGAAAUUCCUUGUCGGGUAAGUUCCGACCUGCACGAAUGGCGUAAUGAUGGCCAGGCUGUCUCCACCCGAGACUCAGUGAAAUUGAACUCGCUGUGAAGAUGCAGUGUACCCGCGGCAAGACGGAAAGACCCCGUGAACCUUUACUAUAGCUUGACACUGAACAUUGAGCCUUGAUGUGUAGGAUAGGUGGGAGGCUUUGAAGCGUGGACGCCAGUCUGCGUGGAGCCAACCUUGAAAUACCACCCUUUAAUGUUUGAUGUUCUAACGUUGGCCCCUUACCGGGGUUGCGGACAGUGUCUGGUGGGUAGUUUGACUGGGGCGGUCUCCUCCCAAAGCGUAACGGAGGAGCACGAAGGUUAGCUAAUCCUGGUCGGACAUCAGGAGGUUAGUGCAAUGGCAUAAGCUAGCUUGACUGCGAGCGUGACGGCGCGAGCAGGUGCGAAAGCAGGUCAUAGUGAUCCGGUGGUUCUGAAUGGAAGGGCCAUCGCUCAACGGAUAAAAGGUACUCCGGGGAUAACAGGCUGAUACCGCCCAAGAGUUCAUAUCGACGGCGGUGUUUGGCACCUCGAUGUCGGCUCAUCACAUCCUGGGGCUGAAGUAGGUCCCAAGGGUAUGGCUGUUCGCCAUUUAAAGUGGUACGCGAGCUGGGUUUAGAACGUCGUGAGACAGUUCGGUCCCUAUCUGCCGUGGGCGCUGGAGAAUUGAGGGGGGCUGCUCCUAGUACGAGAGGACCGGAGUGGACGCAUCACUGGUGUUCGGGUUGUCAUGCCAAUGGCACUGCCCGGUAGCUAAAUGCGGAAGAGAUAAGUGCUGAAAGCAUCUAAGCACGAAACUUGCCCCGAGAUGAGUUCUCCCUGAGACUUUAAGUCUCCUGAAGGAACGUUGAAGACGACGACGUUGAUAGGCCGGGUGUGUAAGCGCAGCGAUGCGUUGAGCUAACCGGUACUAAUGAACCGUGAGGCUUAACCU